AAUCCAUAGGUUAAUGAGGCGAACCGGGGGAACUGAAACAUCUAAGUACCCCGAGGAAAAGAAAUCAACCGAGAUUCCCCCAGUAGCGGCGAGCGAACGGGGAGGAGCCCAGAGCCUGAAUCAGCAUGUGUGUUAGUGGAAGCGUCUGGAAAGGCGCGCGAUACAGGGUGACAGCCCCGUACACAAAAGCGCAUGUGCUGUGAGCUCGAUGAGUAGGGCGGGACACGUGGUAUCCUGUCUGAAUAUGGGGGGACCAUCCUCCAAGGCUAAAUACUCCUGACUGACCGAUAGUGAACCAGUACCGUGAGGGAAAGGCGAAAAGAACCCCGGCGAGGGGAGUGAAAAAGAACCUGAAACCGUGUACGUACAAGCAGUGGGAGCACCCU
Molecule: ribosomal RNA, 386 nt
Filed under: Salmonella enterica
Lineage: Bacteria; Pseudomonadati; Pseudomonadota; Gammaproteobacteria; Enterobacterales; Enterobacteriaceae
Also listed under: 2 other names
Description: partial 23S ribosomal RNA
Rfam family: Bacterial large subunit ribosomal RNA
Source: RNAcentral